UACGAAGGGGGCGAGCGUUGUUCGGAAUUACUGGGCGUAAAGGGCGCGUAGGCGGCGACUCAAGUUAGAUGUGAAAGUCCUGGGCUUAACCUGGGAACUGCGUCUGAUACUGGAAGGCUUGAGUAUGGGAGAGGGAUGUAGAAUUCCAGGUGUAGCGGUGAAAUGCGUAGAUAUCUGGAGGAAUACCGGUGGCGAAGGCGGCAUCCUGGACCAUUACUGACGCUGAGGCGCGAAAGCUAGGGGAGCAAACGGG
This 253-nucleotide ribosomal RNA is filed under the name uncultured bacterium. RNAcentral's name for it is "partial 16S ribosomal RNA". It matches the Rfam family "Bacterial small subunit ribosomal RNA", at positions 524 to 776 of the family's 1533-position model. The record is from RNAcentral.